Molecule: ribosomal RNA, 763 nt
Filed under: Glomus sp. 62.2
Lineage: Eukaryota; Fungi; Glomeromycota; Glomeromycetes; Glomerales; Glomeraceae
Description: eukaryotic LSU rRNA
Rfam family: Eukaryotic large subunit ribosomal RNA
Source: RNAcentral
GCAUAUCAAUAAGCGGAGGAAAAGAAAAUAACAAUGAUUCCCCUAGUAAAUGCGAGUGAAGAGGGACAAGCUCAAAUUUUAAAUCUAUCGGGUUUUACCUGAUCGAGUUGUAAUUUGAAGAAGCGUUUUCUGCGUAUUUGGUCAGCCUAAGUCCUAUUGAAUGAGGCAUCAUGGAGGGUGAUAAUCCCGUCCGGUUGAUCAGAUUCGCUUUACGAUACGCUUUCUAAGAGUCAAGUUGUUUGGGAUUGCAGCUUAAAAUGGGAGGUAAAUUUCUCCUAAGGCUAAAUAACGGCGAGAGACCGAUAGCGAACAAGUACCGUGAGGGAAAGAUGAAAAGAACUUUGAAAAGAGAGUUAAACAGUACGUGAAAUUGUUGAAAGGGAAACGAUUGAAGCCAGUCGUACCUUCGGGUAAUCAGCCUUUCGGGUGCGAUUCUGUGGAGUCUGAGGAGCUUUAACACCUACAUGCUUUGCAUUUUCGUGCUCUUGGGUGUACUUGCCCGUGUGGUUGGUUAACAUCAAUUUCGGGCACCAUAAAAUGGCUGGAGGAAUGUAGCUUCGAUCUUGUAUUGAAGUGUUAUAGCCUUCGGUAGAUGUGGUGAUCGAGAUUGAGGAUUGCAACAGAUACCUUUCGGGGCUACCUGUCUGAUCUCUGAUCGUUGCUUUGGUGCUGAAAGCAGUGCUUAUAGUUAUCAAAGUCGAUGGUUAAUGGGUUAGAACGGGUUAAAUUCGUUAAGGAUGUUGACGUAAUGGCUUUAAACGAC